UAGGGAAUCUUCGGCAAUGGACGAAAGUCUGACCGAGCAACGCCGCGUGAGCGAAGAAGGCUUUAGGAUCGUAAAACUCUGUUGUUAGAGAAGAACAAGGACGUUAGUAACUGAACGUCCCCUGACGGUAUCUAACCAGAAAGCCACGGCUAACUACGUGCCAGCAGCCGCGGUAAUACGUAGGUGGCAAGAGUUGUCCGGAUUUAUUGGGCGUAAAGCGGGCGCAGGCGGUUUCGUAAGUCUGAUGUGAAAGCCCCCGGCUCAACCGGGGAGGGUCAUUGGAAACUGCGGGUCUUGAGUUCAGAAGAGGUGAGUGGAAUUCCGUGUGUAGCGGUGAAAUGCGUAGAUAUAUGGAGGAACACCAGUGGCGAAGGCGGCUCUCUGGUCUGUAACUGACGCUGAGGCUCGAAAGCGUGGGGAGCAAACAGG
RNAcentral lists this ribosomal RNA (429 nucleotides) under Gemmatimonadota bacterium. Its description in RNAcentral is "Gemmatimonadetes bacterium partial 16S ribosomal RNA". It matches the Rfam family "Bacterial small subunit ribosomal RNA", at positions 355 to 776 of the family's 1533-position model. Lineage: Bacteria; Pseudomonadati; Gemmatimonadota. The record is from RNAcentral.